GCGGGAAUUCGAUUUUCCGGUUGAUCCUGCCGGACCUGACUGCUAUCGGAUUGAUACUAGGCCCAUGCGAGUCAUUGUAGCAAUACAAGGCAUACGGCUCAGUAACGCGUAGUCAACCUACCCUAUGGACGGAAAUAACCUCGGGAAACUGAGAAUAAUAUCCGAUAGAACAUUAUGCCUGGAAUGGUUUAUGUUCCAAAUGAUUUAUCGCCGUAGGAUGGGACUGCGGCCUAUCAGUUUGUUGGUGAGGUAAUGGCCCACCAAGACUAUUACAGGUACGGGCUCUGAGAGGAGUAGCCCGGAGAUGUGUACUGAGACACGGACCCAGGCCCUAUGGGGCGCAGCAGGCGAGAAAACUUUGCAAUGUGCGAAAGCACGACAAGGUUAAUCCGAGUGAUUUCUGCUAAAGAAAUCUUUUGUUAGUCCUAGAAACACUAACGAAUAAGGGGUGGGCAAGUUCUGGUGUCAGCCGCCGCGGUAAAACCAGCACCUCAAGUGGUCAGGAUGAUUAUUGGGCCUAAAGCAUCCGUAGCCGGCUCUGUAAGUCCUCGGUUAAAUCUGUACGCUUAACGUACAGGCUGCCGGGAAUACUGCAUAGCUAGGGAGUGGGAGAGGUAGACGGUACUCGGUAGGAAGGGGUAAAAUCCUUUGAUCUAUUGAUGACCACCUGUGGCGAAGGCGGUCUACCAGAACACGUCCGACGGUGAGGGAUGAAAGCUGGGGGAGCAAACCGGAUUAGAUACCCGGGUAGUCCCAGCUGUAAACUAUGCAAACUCAGUGAUGCAUUGGCUUGUGGCCAAUGCAGUGCUGCAGGGAAGCCGUUAAGUUUGCCGCCUGGGAAGUACGUACGCAAGUAUGAAACUUAAAGGAAUUGGCGGGGGAGCACCACAAGGGGUGAAGCCUGCGGUUCAAUUGGAGUCAACGCCGG
Molecule: ribosomal RNA, 928 nt
Filed under: uncultured Nitrososphaerota archaeon
Lineage: Archaea; Thermoproteati; Nitrososphaerota
Description: bacterial SSU rRNA
Rfam family: Archaeal small subunit ribosomal RNA
Source: RNAcentral